RNAcentral lists this ribosomal RNA (753 nucleotides) under arctic soil bacterium R5E1. Its description in RNAcentral is "bacterial SSU rRNA". It matches the Rfam family "Bacterial small subunit ribosomal RNA", at positions 9 to 755 of the family's 1533-position model. The record is from RNAcentral.
GAGUUUGAUCCUGGCUCAGAUUGAACGCUGGCGGCAUGCCUUACACAUGCAAGUCGAACGGCAGCACGGGGGCAACCCUGGUGGCGAGUGGCGAACGGGUGAGUAAUACAUCGGAACGUGUCCUGUAGUGGGGGAUAGCCCGGCGAAAGCCGGAUUAAUACCGCAUACGAUCUACGGAAGAAAGCGGGGGAUCCUUCGGGACCUCGCGCUAUAGGGGCGGCCGAUGGCAGAUUAGCUAGUUGGUGGGGUAAAGGCCUACCAAGGCGACGAUCUGUAGCUGGUCUGAGAGGACGACCAGCCACACUGGGACUGAGACACGGCCCAGACUCCUACGGGAGGCAGCAGUGGGGAAUUUUGGACAAUGGGGGAAACCCUGAUCCAGCAAUGCCGCGUGUGUGAAGAAGGCCUUCGGGUUGUAAAGCACUUUUGUCCGGAAAGAAAACUUCUGCCCUAAUACGGUGGGAGGAUGACGGUACCGGAAGAAUAAGCACCGGCUAACUACGUGCCAGCAGCCGCGGUAAUACGUAGGGUGCGAGCGUUAAUCGGAAUUACUGGGCGUAAAGCGUGCGCAGGCGGUUCGUUAAGACAGAUGUGAAAUCCCCGGGCUUAACCUGGGAACUGCAUUUGUGACUGGCGAGCUAGAGUAUGGCAGAGGGGGGUAGAAUUCCACGUGUAGCAGUGAAAUGCGUAAAGAUGUGGAGGAAUACCGAUGGCGAAAGCAGCCCCCUGGGCUAAUACUGACGCUCAUGCACG